This 468-nucleotide ribosomal RNA is filed under the name uncultured bacterium. RNAcentral describes it as "partial 16S ribosomal RNA". It matches the Rfam family "Bacterial small subunit ribosomal RNA", at positions 28 to 507 of the family's 1533-position model. The record is from RNAcentral.
GACGAACGCUGGCGGCGUGCUUAACACAUGCAAGUCGAACGGAAAGGCCCUGCUUUUGUGGGGUGCUCGAGUGGCGAACGGGUGAGUAACACGUGAGUAACCUGCCCUUGACUUUGGGAUAACUUCAGGAAACUGGGGCUAAUACCGGAUAGGAGCUCCUGCUGCAUGUUGGGGGUUGUAAAGUUUCGGCGGUUGGGGAUGGACUCGCGGCUUAUCAGCUUGUUGGUGGGGUAGUGGCUUACCAAGGCUUUGACGGGUAGCCGGCCUGAGAGGGUGACCGGCCACAUUGGGACUGAGAUACGGCCCAGACUCCUAAGGGAGGCAGCAGUGGGGAAUAUUGCACAAUGGGCGGAAGCCUGAUGCAGCAACGCCGCGUGCGGGAUGACGGCCUUCGGGUUGUAAACCGCUUUCGCCUGUGACGAAGCGUGAGUGACGGUAAUGGGUAAAGAAGCACCGGCUAACUACGUG